Molecule: ribosomal RNA, 245 nt
Filed under: uncultured bacterium
Lineage: Bacteria
Description: partial 16S ribosomal RNA
Rfam family: Bacterial small subunit ribosomal RNA
Source: RNAcentral
CGUAGGUAACCUGCCCCGGAGCGGGGGAUAACAUUUGGAAACAGAUGCCAAUACCGCAUAACAAUAAAAGCCGCAUGGCUUUUAUUUGAAAGAUGGCUUUGGCUAUCACUCUGGGAUGGACCUGCGGUGCAUUAGCUAGUUGGUAAGGUAACGGCUUACCAAGGCGAUGAUGCAUAGCCGAGUUGAGAGACUGAUCGGCCACAAUGGAACUGAGACACGGUCCAUACUCCUACGGGAGGCAGCAG